CCUACGGGGAGCAGCAGUGGGGAAUAUUGGACAAUGGGCGAAAGCCUGAUCCAGCCAUGCCGCGUGUGUGAAGAAGGCCUUCGGGUUGUAAAGCACUUUCAGUGGGGAAGAAAGCCUUGGGGCUAAUACCCUCGAGGAAGGACAUCACCCACAGAAGAAGCACCGGCUAACUCCGUGCCAGCAGCCGCGGUAAUACGGAGGGUGCGAGCGUUAAUCGGAAUUACUGGGCGUAAAGCGCGCGUAGGCGGUCUGAUAAGCCGGUUGUGAAAGCCCCGGGCUCAACCUGGGAACGGCAUCCGGAACUGUCAGGCUAGAGUGCAGGGGAGGAAGGUAGAAUUCCCGGUGUAGCGGUGAAAUGCGUAGAGAUCGGGAGGAAUACCAGUGGCGAAGGCGGCCUUCUGGACUGACACUGACGCUGAGGUGCGAAAGCGUGGGUAGCAAACAGGAUUAGAUACCCUAGUAGUC
Molecule: ribosomal RNA, 465 nt
Filed under: Vreelandella stevensii
Lineage: Bacteria; Pseudomonadati; Pseudomonadota; Gammaproteobacteria; Oceanospirillales; Halomonadaceae
Description: partial 16S ribosomal RNA
Rfam family: Bacterial small subunit ribosomal RNA
Source: RNAcentral